AUUGGACGCUGGCGGCAGGCCUAACACAUGCAAGUCGAACGGUAGCACAGAGAGCUUGCUCUCGGGUGACGAGUGGCGGACGGGUGAGUAACGUCUGGGAAACUGCCCGAUGGAGGGGGAUAACUACUGGAAACGGUAGCUAAUACCGCAUAACGUCGCAAGACCAAAGUGGGGGACCUUCGGGCCUCACACCAUCGGAUGUGCCCAGAUGGGGUUAGCUAGUAGGUGGGGUAAUGGCUCACCUAGGCGACGAUACCUAGCUGGUCUGAGAGGAGGACCAGCCAACCUGGAACUGGGACACGGUCCAGACUCCUACGGGAGGCAGCAGUGGGGAAUAUUGCACAAUGGGCGCAAGCCUGAUGCAGCCAUGCCGCGUGUAUGAAGAAGGCCUUCGGGUUGUAAAGUACUUUCAGCGGGGAGGAAGGCGGUGAAGUUAAUAGCUUCACCGAUUGACGUUACCCGCAGAAGAAGCACCGGCUAACUCCGUGCCAGCCGCCGCGGUAA
RNAcentral lists this ribosomal RNA (504 nucleotides) under uncultured bacterium. RNAcentral describes it as "partial 16S ribosomal RNA". It matches the Rfam family "Bacterial small subunit ribosomal RNA", at positions 29 to 523 of the family's 1533-position model. The record is from RNAcentral.